UCCUACGGGAGGCAGCAGUCGGGAAUAUUGCGCAAUGGAGGAAACUCUGACGCAGUGACGCCGCGUAUAGGAAGAAGGUUUUCGGAUUGUAAACUAUUGUCGUUAGGGAAGAUAAAAGACUGUACCUAAGGAGGAAGCCCCGGCUAACUAUGUGCCAGCAGCCGCGGUAAUACAUAGGGGGCAAGCGUUAUCCGGAAUUAUUGGGUGUAAAGGGUGCGUAGACGGGAAUGCAAGUUGGUUGUGAAAUCCCUCGGCUUAACUGAGGAACUGCAACCAAAACUACAUUUCUUGAGUGCUGGAGAGGA
This 305-nucleotide ribosomal RNA is filed under the name uncultured bacterium. RNAcentral's name for it is "bacterial SSU rRNA". It matches the Rfam family "Bacterial small subunit ribosomal RNA", at positions 337 to 658 of the family's 1533-position model. The record is from RNAcentral.